Molecule: long non-coding RNA, 370 nt
Organism: Neoarius graeffei (lesser salmon catfish)
Lineage: Eukaryota; Metazoa; Chordata; Actinopteri; Siluriformes; Ariidae
Exons: 2
Source: RefSeq, a predicted model, not a curated record
GGCCCAGCAUGCCUUGAAUUUUUUUUUUUUUAAAUGAUGCCCCUCCUGACUCCAUCGCAUAGUCUCUCUUGCCGAAGAUCCAAGAAUGUCAAGGUAUAGAAAUGCCAUUCAGUGGAAAAGAAAAGGCGUUUUGUGUGUUAGAGUACGCUCAAACACAGUCGAACAAGACUGCAGCGUGCAUUUAUGAGAGAAUUCUCUAAAUGCACCGACUGCAAUGCAGAUCUGGACACGCCACAAAAAGUUCAAAGAGGAAGGCUGUGUGUGUCUCAGGCGGCGCGCAUAUUGAAAAUUUGUGAAUCGAUCAUGGACUCCACAUACCUUUUGAAUUUCUUAUUCACAUUUUGAGGAAUAAAUCUUAUACUGCUCAACA